Non-coding RNA from Osmia lignaria (orchard mason bee), 391 nucleotides. Lineage: Eukaryota; Metazoa; Arthropoda; Insecta; Hymenoptera; Megachilidae. The record is from RefSeq and is a predicted model, not a curated record.
AAAUAAUCUACUCCAAUGGCUAUCGAGUUUUACUUAUUCAAGGCCACAUAUCGAACAUCGAACAUCGAACAUCGAACUCGCUAUCAUACUAUGUGGAAAUGAGCGCGUCUGUUCAAGUGCGUAGCACAUAACCUAGCACUUAUAAUGAACCAAAUAUUUUGCAGCUGAUGUAAAAUUAAAACAUGCCAAAUUAGGUAAAAUUUGUGUAUGCAAACAAUUUCAGCUUUAGCAAAUAUUAAUUUUUAUGGUAAGUAUGGUAAUGAACUGUUUGUGUCCAUAUGAUAUAUUUACAUAUGAGCAUCGCUAUUAUAAUACAUUGUUAUUGAUAAAAAUGUAGCAUAACAUUAAUGCUAUCAUUUGCUUGAACAAUAAAACAGAACAAGCAAAUUUA